This 514-nucleotide ribosomal RNA is filed under the name uncultured Entrophosporaceae. RNAcentral describes it as "SSU rRNA". It matches the Rfam family "Eukaryotic small subunit ribosomal RNA", at positions 569 to 1078 of the family's 1831-position model. Lineage: Eukaryota; Fungi; Glomeromycota; Glomeromycetes; Entrophosporales; Entrophosporaceae. The record is from RNAcentral.
AGCAGCCGCGGUAAUUCCAGCUCCAAUAGCGUAUAUUAAAGUUGUUGCAGUUAAAAAGCUCGUAGUUGAAUUUCGGGAUUGACGUGACGGUCAUGCCUUAAGGGGUAUGAACUGUUACAGUUGAUUUCUCACCUUCUGGAGAAACUUGAUGUCCUUUAUUGGGUGUCUUGCGGAUCCAGGACCUUUACCUUGAAAAAUUAGAGUGUUUAAAGCAGGCAUUUUUGCUCGAAUACAUUAGCAUGGAAUAAUAGAAUAGGACGGCAUGGUUCUAUUUUGUUGGUUUCUAGGAUCACCGUAAUGAUUAAUAGGGAUAGUUGGGGGCAUUAGUAUCCAAUUGUCAGAGGUGAAAUUCUUGGAUUUAUUGAAGACUAACUACUACGAAAGCAUUUGCCAAGGAUGUUUUCAUUAAUCAAGAACGAAAGUUAGGGGAUCGAAGACGAUCAGAUACCGUCGUAGUCUUAACCAUAAACUAUGCCGACUAGGAAUCAGACGAUGUUAAUUUUUAAUGUACUCG